UGGGGAAUAUUGGGCAAUGGGCGAAAGCCUGACCCAGCGACGCCGCGUGGGCGAUGAAGGCCUUCGGGUUGUAAAGCCCUGUCAUGCGGAAAGAACGACCCUGUGACGCAUACUCACAGGGAGUGACGGUAACGCAGGAGGAAGCACCGGCUAACUCCGUGCCAGCAGCCGCGGUAAUACGGAGGGUGCAAGCGUUGUUCGGAAGUAUUGGGCGUAAAGGGCGCGGAGGCGGUAAUGUAAGUCAGAUGUGAAA
RNAcentral lists this ribosomal RNA (253 nucleotides) under uncultured prokaryote. Its description in RNAcentral is "partial 16S ribosomal RNA". It matches the Rfam family "Bacterial small subunit ribosomal RNA", at positions 355 to 599 of the family's 1533-position model. The record is from RNAcentral.